AUGCUCGAUUUGGCAGCACAUACACUAAAAUUGGAAUGAUACAGAGAUUAGCAUGGCCCAUGUGCAAAGAUGACAUGCAAAUUCAUGAAGCAUUCCAUAUUUGG
This 104-nucleotide small nuclear RNA is filed under the name Ursus thibetanus thibetanus. Lineage: Eukaryota; Metazoa; Chordata; Mammalia; Carnivora; Ursidae. The record is from RNAcentral.